RNAcentral lists this non-coding RNA (27 nucleotides) under Cricetulus griseus (Chinese hamster). Lineage: Eukaryota; Metazoa; Chordata; Mammalia; Rodentia; Cricetidae. The record is from RNAcentral.
UCAUGAAUUUUUGUGUUGUGGGCCAAU